UCUGCCUAUAGAGGCCUGGGGUCCCUUUGGCAGCACUUUUCUCAAGAAAGUAGAGUCGUGGACAACCAACUGCACAGGUUGGGAGGCUUUGAAGAACAAGCUGCCAUGAAUCCUGCAGCUACAAGGAAAUGAACUCUAUUAACUUGAGUGAGCUUAAAACUAGAUCCUUCCCCAGUCAAGCCUCCAGGUGAGAAUUCAAUCCUGGCUGGCACCUGGAUUGCAGCUUACAGAAGACCCAGCUAAGGCCAUGUCUGGACUUUAAAUCCACAGGAACUGCAAGAUGGUAUCAGAAGUGGGACCUGCAGUGGGGCAUCUAGCAACCCCCAGGAGCAUUGAGUGACCAGGCUUGGGACCCACCGGGCGCAGGGUGUCCAUUGUUCUCUCGAAGCAACUGAGAAUUGUGGAUAUUCUUCAUUAUUCCAUCAUCAUCUCAAACCUCUUGGGUAUAGUGUUUGACUACUACUGUGACCAUAAAUUCCAAUAAAACCUAGGAAAAAUGAAACCACUACAUUAACUGAAAGGGUUUAUAUAUUCUGGAUACCAGGAUUAUAUUAUCAGAUCUACUACUUGAAAAUAUUAUCUCCUGUUUUGUGGGUUGUAUUUUCACUUUCUUUGUGGUAUGAUUUGGAGCACAAAGUUUUGAUUUUGACGAAGCCUCAUUUAUAUAU
This 668-nucleotide long non-coding RNA is filed under the name Homo sapiens (human). RNAcentral's name for it is "HSALNT0347268". Lineage: Eukaryota; Metazoa; Chordata; Mammalia; Primates; Hominidae. The record is from RNAcentral.